GACAGAGGGUGCAAACGUUGUUCGGAAUUACUGGGCGUAAAGCGCGCGUAGGCGGCCCGGUAAGUCCGUUGUGAAAGUCAAAGGCUCAACCUUUGAAUGCCGAUGGAUACUGCCGGGCUCGAGUCCGGAAGAGGCGAGUGGAAUUCCUGGUGUAGCGGUGGAAUGCGCAGAUAUCAGGAGGAACACCGAUAGCGAAGGCAGCUCGCUGGGACGGUACUGACGCUAAGGCGCGAAAGCGUGGGGAGCGAACAGG
RNAcentral lists this ribosomal RNA (253 nucleotides) under uncultured bacterium. Its description in RNAcentral is "partial 16S ribosomal RNA". It matches the Rfam family "Bacterial small subunit ribosomal RNA", at positions 524 to 776 of the family's 1533-position model. The record is from RNAcentral.